UUCCGGGUGAUCCCGCCGGACCCGACUGCUAUCAGAGUGGGACUAAGCCAUGCGAGUCAACAUAGCAAUAUGUGGCAUACGGCUCAGUAACACGUAGUCAACAUGCCCAGGGGACGUGGAUAACCUCGGGAAACUGAGGAUAAACCGCGAUAGGUCAUCACUUCUGGAAUGGGUAAUGACUUAAAUCUAUAUGGCCCCUGGAUUGGACUGCGGCCGAUCAGGCUGUUGGUGAGGUAAUGGCCCACCAAACCUGUAACCGGUACGGGCUCUGAGAGGAGGAGCCCGGAGAUGGGCACUGAGACAAGGGCCCAGGCCCUAUGGGGCGCAGCAGGCGCGAAACCUCUGCAAUAGGCGAAAGCUUGACAGGGUUACUCUGAGUGAUUUCCGUUAAGGAGAUCUUUUGGCACCUCUAAAAAUGGUGCAGAAUAAGGGGUGGGCAAGUCUGGUGUCAGCCGCCGCGGUAAUACCAGCACCCCGAGUGGUCGGGACGUUUAUUGGGCCUAAAGCAUCCGUAGCCGGUUCUACAAGUCUUCCGUUAAAUCCACCUGCUUAACAGAUGGGCUACGGAAGAUACUAUAGAGCUAGGAGGCGGGAGAGGCAAGCGGUACUCGAUGGGUAGGGGUAAAAUCCGUUGAUCCAUUGAAGACCACCAGUGGCGAAGGCGGCUUGCCAGAACGCGCUCGACGGUGAGGGAUGAAAGCUGGGGGAGCGAACCGGAUUAGAUACCCGGGUAGUCCCAGCCGUAAACGAUGCUAGCUAGAUGAUUCAUUCGCAAGUCGCGAAUGAAGUGUCGCAGGGAAGCCGUUAAGCUAGCCGCCUGGGGAGUACGGUCGCAAGACUGAAACUUAAAGGAAUUGGCGGGGGAGCA
Molecule: ribosomal RNA, 868 nt
Filed under: uncultured archaeon
Lineage: Archaea
Description: bacterial SSU rRNA
Rfam family: Archaeal small subunit ribosomal RNA
Source: RNAcentral